RNAcentral lists this long non-coding RNA (792 nucleotides) under Cricetulus griseus (Chinese hamster). RNAcentral describes it as "lncRNA (ENSCGRG00015037747.1)". Lineage: Eukaryota; Metazoa; Chordata; Mammalia; Rodentia; Cricetidae. The record is from RNAcentral.
AUUGAAAUGCACAGGCAGCAGCUCAAGACUCCCAAUGAAGUCCGCAGCCUGACUUUAUUUGGAUUUUCAGGUGCAACAAAUUGUACACUGGCUACUGCUGCACUUGCGUGCACAUUUUUGGGGAAGACAGCACAGAGGAUCCACUGGUCUACAACAUUGAGAAGGAUAAAGACAGGAACAAACAGUUAAGACAAGUCCCUGACCAGAAUCCAGUUUCAGCUCUAAUUACAGAAGAGCAUCAAUGACCAAGAAACAGUUACCCCCUUAUUUUAAACUGUGAAGGAAAAUUCAGUCUUACCUACAGCAUCGAGUCUCCUGUAUUCUUCAGCAUCAUAUCUUUAUGGAAUAUCUUUAUUAUUCUAGGAAGGAUCCAGCAAAGCUCACUCUUCCUUAGUGAAGUCAACAUGAACAUCGUCACGGGUCACUGCAUUCUAAAUUAUACAAUAAAUGUAUAAAAACAAAGUUACACUGACAACACUAUAAAUGCAAAUAUCUUUGAAAAUAUAGUAAUAUAAUUCUCAUGAUUCGUAUACCUAUUCCAUGACACAGCUAAUGGAAUCACCUAGUCACUUAAAAAGAAAGCUGAAUAAGAGGGUCACCUCUGUUAUUUCAUCACCCUUUGAGUAGGAUAUUGCCAUGUUAAAGAAAUGCCUUUUAACAGACAGAGAUACACAAGCAAACAAAUCAAUAGUAUUCAGCACACAUCAGAGAAAUGGCAUUAAACAAUAUCUACAAGAAAGAUGGGCAAACAGGAUGUACAAGCUCAUGCCUUCAUUUGCUUCAGGAAACAAG